AGAUAUUAUUCGUAUAGUGCUCA
RNAcentral lists this non-coding RNA (23 nucleotides) under Arabidopsis thaliana (thale cress). The record is from RNAcentral. Lineage: Eukaryota; Viridiplantae; Streptophyta; Magnoliopsida; Brassicales; Brassicaceae.